Molecule: long non-coding RNA, 518 nt
Organism: Hydra vulgaris (swiftwater hydra)
Lineage: Eukaryota; Metazoa; Cnidaria; Hydrozoa; Anthoathecata; Hydridae
Source: RefSeq, a predicted model, not a curated record
UUUUUAGAGUUGGUUUGUAUUGAUUUAUAACAACAGAAAAUACAUUACAAAAUCUCCCAUAAAAUGGUUCAUCUAAAUCUAAUUCACUGCAGGAUGCCUGUUAAAAAGAAAAAUUAAAGAAACUUUAAAACUAGAUAAUGGCAACCGAAGAAGUUGAAACACUGUUAUUCAUCAAGUGUUAGUUAUAUGCAAGAUAUGGCAUGGUAUGGCACACUGCAUGGUAUGCCCUAAAUAAUAUUAUCAAUAAGUAUUUUUAUCUAUACUUUGUAAAUAUAUAUGCUAUAAAUUAUUAUAUUAUUCAAAUGUUUAUUUUUAAUUUAUAAAAUUAGUGUAAAAGUGGAUGAAAGCACUAAAAAAAACGAUAACAAUAAACUUUUAAGCAAAAUUUUGUCAUACAAUUAUGGUGGCGAUAUAAGAGAACUACUGUGGCAGAAUAUUACUAUCGUAGAACAGUAUUGCAUCAAAUCAUUUUAUAUUAUUAGUUUUUUGUUGCUUAAAAAAAUAUAAUGUAAUUCGAA